AGGGGAAGGGGGAGAAAGAGAAGAAGAAGAAGAGAGAGAGAGGCAGCGAGACAGUCAGAUGGACGAGAUGCAGCAGCGAAGACGAGGAGGAGGAGAAACAAAGCGUGUUGACUGAGGAAGUGAGAGUGCCAUGCGAGGGCCAUGUGCUCAGGCUUCCCACGACGCCGUGCGAGUCCGUCCGUCAGUCUCCUCGCGAGCGAGGGGACAUGUGUGGAGAUGUCACCGCUGCGACGGAGGCGUCGCCCCCUCUGUCCCCGCGACGACGAGAGGCUCCGUCACGCGACGUGGGCCUGAACUCCUCCCGUGAGCGGCGGUUGGGGGCGAAUUCUGCACAGAAGCACGAU
This is a long non-coding RNA of Scophthalmus maximus (turbot), 344 nucleotides long. RefSeq lists it as uncharacterized. The record is from RefSeq and is a predicted model, not a curated record. Lineage: Eukaryota; Metazoa; Chordata; Actinopteri; Pleuronectiformes; Scophthalmidae. The transcript is spliced from 3 exons.